UCUAGUAUAGCAUUAUACCGUGAAACUGCGAAUGGCUCAUUAAAUCAGUUAUCGUUUAUUUGAUAGUACCUUACUACUUGGAUACCCGUGGUAAUUCUAGAGCUAAUACAUGCUAAAAACCCCGACUUCGGGAGGGGUGUGUUUAUUAGAUAAAAAACCAACGCCCUUCGGGGCUCCUUGGUGAUUCAUGAUAACCUCUCAGAUCGCACGGCCUUGCGCCGGCGACGGUUCAUUCAAAUUUCUGCCCUAUCAACUUUCGAUGGUAAGGUAUUGGCUUACCAUGGUUUCAACGGGUAACGGGGAAUUAGGGUUCGAUUCCGGAGAGUGAGCCUGAGAAACGGCUCACACAUCCAAGGAAGGCAGCAGGCGCGCAAAUUACCCAAUCCCGACACGGGGAGGUAGUGACAAUAAAUACUGAUACAGGGCUCUUUUGGGUCUUGUAAUUGGAAUGAGUACAAUUUAAACCUCUUAACGAGGAACAAUUGGAGGGCAAGUCUGGUGCCAGCAGCCGCGGUAAUUCCAGCUCCAAUAGCGUAUAUUAAAGUUGUUGCAGUUAAAAAGCUCGUAGUUGAAUCUUUGGCCUGGCUGGUGGGUCCGCCUCACCGCGUGCACUUGUCCGGCCGGGCCUUCUCUUCUGGAGAACCGCAUGCCCUUCACUGGGCGUGUUGGGGACCAGGACUUUUACUUUGAAAAAAUUAGAGUGUUCAAAGCAGGCCUUUGCUCGAAUACGUUAGCAUGGAAUAAUAGAAUAGGACGUGCGGUCCUAUUUUGUUGGUUUCUAGGACCGCCGUAAUGAUUAAUAGGGACAGUCGGGGGCAUCAGUAUUCAAUUGUCAGAGGUGAAAUUCUUGGAUUUAUUGAAGACUAACUACUGCGAAAGCAUUUGCCAAGGAUGUUUUCAUUAAUCAGUGAACGAAAGUUAGGGGAUCGAAGACGAUCAGAUACCGUCGUAGUCUUAACCAUAAACUAUGCCGACUAGGGAUCGGGCGGUGUUAUCGAUUUGACCCGCUCGGCACCUUGCGAGAAAUCAAAGUG
Molecule: ribosomal RNA, 1034 nt
Filed under: Dictyocheirospora rotunda
Lineage: Eukaryota; Fungi; Ascomycota; Dothideomycetes; Pleosporales; Dictyosporiaceae
Description: SSU rRNA
Rfam family: Eukaryotic small subunit ribosomal RNA
Source: RNAcentral